CUUCACUCCCCCGGACACAGCCAACAUCUCAGUGCUGCAGAGGAGAGGCAGGAAGGAGCGUGGAGAGAGGACAUCAGGGAGAAAUGGCUCUGGAUCUGGACUCCUGGUCCUCUUCCCUGCCCUGCCAUAUUCCUCUCUGUCCCAGAGACUGGGCUUUGGGGGAAGAACAAGUCUGGUGGGACUUUGGGGGCCAGUCAUAGAAGCAGCCUCGUUGUUCAUCGGUUCAUUGAUGUCAUCAUAGGUGGCCCACAUCUCUGGCUUUGGGCUUCUCCCCUGGGCGGGUGGGUGCUCCACCCUCCCGCCCUCUCCGCUCUGUGGACAAGGACGUGAGGACCAGAGACAUCCAGCACCACGGACAGCUCCCAGCGAUGACCCAGAAAGCCAGGUGUGGUGCUUCACACCUGUAAUCUCAGCACCUGGACAUCUGGGGCAGAAGAAUGGCCAAAGAGAAGACCUGACCUGGCCCCAAGCUCCCCAAGGGCAAAGUGUGUUCCCAGAUUGAGAAGGGGCUGCCUCCAGCAAACAGAUGUGAACAGAGGCAGAGGGCACCACCCGGCAGCUUCUCCCCAAGCUAUGGAAUGCGGGCUUUGCUCACCUGGUCACUUCCAGCAAGUUGUCCCACCCGGCCCAUCUAUUUCUCCUGUUGCCUCUCGGCUGCAUCCCUAAAUCCUACCCCAUGUCCAAUAAAGAGUGUUGCAGACUGAACAGC
This 709-nucleotide long non-coding RNA is filed under the name Cricetulus griseus (Chinese hamster). Its description in RNAcentral is "lncRNA (ENSCGRG00015038569.1)". Lineage: Eukaryota; Metazoa; Chordata; Mammalia; Rodentia; Cricetidae. The record is from RNAcentral.